CCCACUAAGCAGCAAUAAUGGGCUUCUGUUUAUUCUAGGUUUCAGGUUACCCCACCUGAACGUCCUCUGGAACGAAGGAAGUGUCUGGAUCCUUGAGUUCAAGAACAAAUGCCACAGAGGGCCCCAAGAGCGUCCUGAGAAUUUUAGAUAUAUCUGAGUUCAUUCUUCGUAAUACUGUCUGGUCUUGGUAACUAAUGUGAUUAUUUGUUGCUUAUCAAAACAGAAUAAAAUGAAACCAAUAAU
This 243-nucleotide long non-coding RNA is filed under the name Mustela putorius furo (domestic ferret). Its description in RNAcentral is "lncRNA (ENSMPUG00000031048.1)". The record is from RNAcentral. Lineage: Eukaryota; Metazoa; Chordata; Mammalia; Carnivora; Mustelidae.